Molecule: unclassified non-coding RNA, 1613 nt
Filed under: Hevea brasiliensis (rubber tree)
Lineage: Eukaryota; Viridiplantae; Streptophyta; Magnoliopsida; Malpighiales; Euphorbiaceae
Source: RNAcentral
CUAUAAAAACUUCCAGAACAGUAGUAAUGCAAAUUUAGCACAAUUUCAACCCAAGGUAAUCUACGGCAUAGCUUUACGAAACUGAUAAUCAAAUGGCAAGCCAUGAACAAGUAGAAUGACAACAUAAUAAAAUGAACAGAAUUCAACAAGCUAGACCCUAGCAACCGCAAGCUAUUAUGUACAUCUUCAUGAAUUUGCACACCAGACCUCUUUAGUCACUUUCAUAAUCUUCUUCAUCACCAAAUGAGAAAACAGAUGCAUCAGCUGCCAUGACCUUGAAAUCACUCACUCCUCCAACCGGAUUGGACACAUCAACACUAGACGUAGUUCCGACUGAGGCAUCUUUUUUGGGCUCACUGUGUACAGAGCUUGUGUCUCCCAAUGAGACUUGUUCUGUCUUAUGUGUCAAGCUUGAUAUUUUAUCUGAAUCGUCCUUGUUCCUUGAUCCAGGGUUUUUUGCAUCUGCGGGAGCGCUAACUUCAGAAGCAGCUUUAGAUUGUCUAGCUUUUGACAUUCCAGGUUCCUCAGAUUCAUUGUCUGAGAACACAUCGUCCUUGUCAUUGUUCCCAGGUUGUUGGUUCACGUUAGUUCCGUCAGCAGGCUCACUGCCUGAGGUAGGAUUAGACACGGGGGCAGGAUUAGCACUUGAACUGUCAGCUGAUUCUUUGGUGGCAGUUUCUGAUUGGGGUCGAGCAGGAAGGGCAGCAUCAUAGUCCGCAAGGACUACUUCCACUUGGAAACCAGGUGAAGGUAACUUUCUCUUGUCAAAACCAUCGAGAUCACUUGUCAUCAGGACUUUCCUGUUCUCUAUCAUUGUUGUAUUCAACCAACAGUAAAAGUCUCCUUGACGGUCAUGAAAAUGAAUUUUGAAAUCCCCAGCUAAUUCUGCAAGGCCAGGCUCGCCUGGAAGAGCAAAAACCACUACCCCUUUCUUUGGUGCAUUGAACCAAAAAUCCUCAGGCGAUAGAUCCUUGGUUCUUGGAUGUUUUUUGGAUGAAAAGAGCACACCAUUAUGAUCAGAUACAGUGAUAGAAGGUCUUAUCCAAUAAGGGCACCUAUGCAGGCGAAAUCCUCUGAGCAUGCACCUGCGUCCAGGCUGGUUUUCUCCAUUAAAGUACAUUAAGAUGCGUUCGAAAUACUUGACAUAUCUAAUCUGGCUCGGCAGCACUAGUCCUUUUCCGUCUACGCAUCUCUUUUGAUUGUAGUAAUCCAUAGACUCCUCUGCUGUAGGAAAGAACUUCAAGUAUAGAAGAAGACUAGAGAUCAUUAAACCAGUUCUUGCCAUUCCCGCCUUACAAUGCACAACCACAACAUUUUCGAUAUCCUCCUUCAACCAUGAGUAUGCACUUUGACAAAAUGAUAUAAUGAGUUGAAUAGGAGGGCAGUUGUGAUCAUCAAAUGGGAAACUAGCAACCUUCCCCUCGAAUAGGGAAGCAUCAUACAGUCUUUCAGCACAAAGAUUGUAUACUUUGUAUUUAUCCUUAUGAUGAGUUUCAAAGAAUUUAAUUACUUCUUCCAUGUGGUUUCUGUAGAACCCCUCAACAUAGCCAAAAAGGCCAGAGCUCAUGUCACCAGCAGGGAAUCCCAUGGCAAUUAUAUUCUCUGUUAUAUAU